AGAAAUAAAUCCAAGCCCCUAUUGAACUCUUUUAGUAAGUUCACCAUCACCACCUCCUCAGGCAGAGAGUUCCAUAGUCUCACUGCUCUUACCGUAAAGAAUCCUCUUCUAUGUUUGGCUAUAUGGGAGAUGUGUGAA
Molecule: long non-coding RNA, 138 nt
Organism: Bufo bufo (common toad)
Lineage: Eukaryota; Metazoa; Chordata; Amphibia; Anura; Bufonidae
Exons: 3
Source: RefSeq, a predicted model, not a curated record